AAUGAUUUCACAGUUUAUUUUUGAACCUUAAUGUAGUCUUGUCCCAUACAGAUAGUGUACUGCUCGACAAGAAUUAUAAUGAGUCUGAUAAGCGCCGAGAGCGCCAGCCAGGACGCGAUGCAAGCUCUCGCGAACGUCUCGGAACCUUUGGCUCACAGAGAUGGACUGAAAACUGGGCACUGGUCAAUCGCUCCAGGAUAUGCUGACUGCGACAUGAGAACGCGAUACACGAAGGCAGGGGAAACAGCUCUUUAAUAACACAGAAACAAGUUCGAGGCGGGAUGCGACUGUGUCAACGAUCUCACCGAGUUCGGGGAUGAGAAGAACUACUAGGACGCGAGAAAGAUGGACUAAAUACAUUGCAAAAUCACACCGACUUACUGAACUGUGAUAUCAAGAACGUGACCAAUAGUGUAAUCAGCGGGCCAUUUGUGUAAGCUCAUUUUCAACUUUAUGAGUUCUGUAAACCGCGUUGCAGUAGCAUUCUUUCGACAGGUUGUUUGCGUCGAAGCUAUUUCUUUAGAAGUUUGGUUAAACUUAUGAAACGGGUGUGAAAUCGGUUUGAAAAACACCUUUAACAAGGUAAAAUGUUGGCAACUAUUAGUUAUGGCUUCAUCCUCGAGAAUCUGUAUCUUUGUAUUAUGAUUCUUAUUUUUUUUUUAAAUUUACGAUAUUCUUAAAGAAAUUGUCAAAUGUUUGUAGCUUACAAAAGUUUUUCUAUAUAUUCUCAUAAAUAUAUACGUUAGUGA
This is a long non-coding RNA of Nasonia vitripennis (jewel wasp), 749 nucleotides long. RefSeq lists it as uncharacterized. NCBI's taxonomy places the organism in Eukaryota, Metazoa, Arthropoda, Insecta, Hymenoptera, Pteromalidae. The record is from RefSeq and is a predicted model, not a curated record. The transcript has 3 exons.